RNAcentral lists this transfer RNA (63 nucleotides) under bacterium. Its description in RNAcentral is "tRNA-Ile". It matches the Rfam family "tRNA". From Rfam's summary of the family: Transfer RNA (tRNA) molecules are approximately 80 nucleotides in length. Their secondary structure includes four short double-helical elements and three loops (D, anti-codon, and T loops). The record is from RNAcentral.
GGGGUGAAGUAGAACGCCAAACUGAUAAUUUGGAGGUCGAAGGUUCGAUUCCUUCCACGCCCA